RNAcentral lists this ribosomal RNA (526 nucleotides) under uncultured bacterium. RNAcentral's name for it is "bacterial SSU rRNA". It matches the Rfam family "Bacterial small subunit ribosomal RNA", at positions 984 to 1509 of the family's 1533-position model. The record is from RNAcentral.
ACAUCCAGAGAAUUUAGCAGAGAUGCUUUAGUGCCUUCGGGAACUCUGAGACAGGUGCUGCAUGGCUGUCGUCAGCUCGUGUAGUGAAAUGUUGGGUUAAGUCCCGNAACGAGCGCAACCCUUAUCCUUUGUUGCCAGCACGUAAUGGUGGGAACUCAAAGGAGACUGCCGGUGAUAAACCGGAGGAAGGUGGGGAUGACGUCAAGUCAUCAUGGCCCUUACGAGUAGGGCUACACACGUGCUACAAUGGCGCAUACAAAGAGAAGCGACCUCGCGAGAGCAAGCGGACCUCAUAAAGUGCGUCGUAGUCCGGAUUGGAGUCUGCAACUCGACUCCAUGAAGUCGGAAUCGCUAGUAAUCGUAAAUCAGAAUGUUACGGUGAAUACGUUCCCGGGCCUUGUACACACCGCCCGUCACACCAUGGGAGUGGGUUGCAAAAGAAGUAGAUAGCUUAACCUUCGGGAGGGCGUUUACCACUUUGUGAUUCAUGACUGGGGUGAAGUCGUAACAAGGUAAGCGUAGUGCU